This 271-nucleotide long non-coding RNA is filed under the name Vigna radiata. RNAcentral describes it as "long non-coding RNA (VRAD_LNC006027)". The record is from RNAcentral. Lineage: Eukaryota; Viridiplantae; Streptophyta; Magnoliopsida; Fabales; Fabaceae.
AAAUACCCAGCUCCUCACUUGUAUUCCUUACUUUUGAGAUUAAUGAGAAUUUGAUUUUCUGACCUUUAGAAAUAAUUCUCUCUUGAAAGUCACAGGCUAGAGAGUCCAAGAGACCUCCUCUAGCCACCUUCCAAGCACCCUUCUUCUUUUUCAUUUUCCAUUUCCAUGGUGCUCCAUAUUUCUCUCUCCUCCACGCAUCAGCUUACCACCACUUCAUCAGACACGCGUCAGUGCCUAAUCUGCAUCAGCACCACUUCAACACCUUUCCACC